RNAcentral lists this ribosomal RNA (470 nucleotides) under uncultured bacterium. Its description in RNAcentral is "partial 16S ribosomal RNA". It matches the Rfam family "Bacterial small subunit ribosomal RNA", at positions 36 to 507 of the family's 1533-position model. The record is from RNAcentral.
UCCUCCCUCUUUCUUCGUGCUUAACACAUGCAAGUCGAACGGUGAACGAGGGAGCUUGCUCCCUCCGGAUCAGUGGCGCACGGGUGAGUAACACGUGAGCAAUCUGCCCCGAACUCUGGGAUAAGCGUUGGAAACGACGUCUAAUACCGGAUACGACGCGGGAGGGCAUCCUCUCCGCGUGGAAAGAACUUCGGUUCGGGAUGAGCUCGCGGCCUAUCAGCUUGUUGGUGAGGUAACGGCUCACCAAGGCGACGACGGGUAGCCGGCCUGAGAGGGUGACCGGCCACACUGGGACUGAGACACGGCCCAGACUCCUACGGGAGGCAGCAGUGGGGAAUAUUGCACAAUGGGCGCAAGCCUGAUGCAGCAACGCCGCGUGAGGGACGACGGCCUUCGGGUUGUAAACCUCUUUUAGCAGGGAAGAAGCGAAAGUGACGGUACCUGCAGAAAAAGCACCGGCUAACUACGUG